UACGGAAGGCAGCAGUGGGGAAUAUUGCACAAUGGGCGCAAGCCUGAUGCAGCCAUGCCGCGUGUAUGAAGAAGGCCUUCGGGUUGUAAAGUACUUUCAGUCGUGAGGAAGGUGUUAAGGUUAAUAACCUUAGCAAUUGACGUUAGCGACAGAAGAAGCACCGGCUAACUCCGUGCCAGCAGCCGCGGUAAUACGGAGGGUGCGAGCGUUAAUCGGAAUUACUGGGCGUAAAGGGCACGCAGGCGGUUAAUUAAGUUGGAUGUGAAAUCCCCGGGCUUAACCUGGGAAUGGCAUUCAAGACUGGUUAGCUAGAGUCUUGUAGAGGGGGGUUAGAAUUCCAUGUGUAGCGGUGAAAUGCGUAGAGAUGUGGAGGAAUACCGGUGGCGAAGGCGGCCCCUGGACAAAGACUGACGCUCAUGUGCGAAAGCGUGGGGAGCAAACAGGGAUUAGAUACC
RNAcentral lists this ribosomal RNA (455 nucleotides) under uncultured bacterium. RNAcentral describes it as "bacterial SSU rRNA". It matches the Rfam family "Bacterial small subunit ribosomal RNA", at positions 340 to 786 of the family's 1533-position model. The record is from RNAcentral.